RNAcentral lists this ribosomal RNA (292 nucleotides) under uncultured eukaryote. Its description in RNAcentral is "partial 18S ribosomal RNA". It matches the Rfam family "Eukaryotic small subunit ribosomal RNA", at positions 6 to 284 of the family's 1831-position model. The record is from RNAcentral.
GGUUGAUCCUGCCAGUAGUCAUAUGCUUGUCUCAAAGAUUAAGCCAUGCAUGUCUAAGUAUAGCUGUAUACUGUGAAACUGCGAAUGGCUCAUUAAAUCAGUUAUAAUUUAUUUGAUGAUACCUUACUACUUGGAUAACCGUAGUAAUUCUAGAGCUAAUACAUGCGUAAAUCCCGACUUCUGGAAGGGACGUAUUUAUUAGAUAAAAGACCAUCCGGGUGAUUUGGGGUUUACUUCAAGUCAUCUGUCCUUUGGUGAUUCAUAAUAACUUUACGAAUCGCUGUUUUUUCAG